CUUCCAUUGUAGAAUCUGUUUUUUGGGAAAUCUGAUUGAAUGAAUCAAUCCAUUCAGUUUUUUCCAUAUAUUGCUUAAAGUAAAGUAAUUCGGGAGUUUUUAAUUGGAGAGACUCUCCUUCUUCUACUAUAGCCAAACAUUCCUCGUAAGACAAACUUCUUUCCUUCAUAGCGUUAGCUUUUUCUCUGAAAAUCUUCAAACUUUCAGCUUUCUCAAAGGCAACAGCCAUUUCCGGGAAAUCAAAUGUAAACUGCUCGGCCUCUUCUACCAAAUUUAUCAACAAGUCUGCUUCAUUAAUGUUAGAAGAAUUUAAAUCUUCCACUUCCUCCGAAGGACUUUCUAGAUGCGAAUGUGUAGCAGAACCCCGCUUUGGCUU
Non-coding RNA from Schizosaccharomyces pombe (fission yeast), 376 nucleotides. The record is from the annotation of a GenBank genome assembly. Lineage: Eukaryota; Fungi; Ascomycota; Schizosaccharomycetes; Schizosaccharomycetales; Schizosaccharomycetaceae.